GGCUCUGUGGCGCAAUGGACAGCGUGUUGGACUUCUAGUUAAGCUCAGGAGGAGUGAUUCAAAGGUUGUGGGUUCGAGUCCCACCAGAGUCG
This 92-nucleotide transfer RNA is filed under the name Perca fluviatilis (European perch). It matches the Rfam family "tRNA". From Rfam's summary of the family: Transfer RNA (tRNA) molecules are approximately 80 nucleotides in length. Their secondary structure includes four short double-helical elements and three loops (D, anti-codon, and T loops). Further hydrogen bonds mediate the characteristic L-shaped molecular structure. tRNAs have two regions of fundamental functional importance: the anti-codon, which is responsible for specific mRNA codon recognition, and the 3' end, to which the tRNAs corresponding amino acid is attached (by aminoacyl-tRNA synthetases). tRNAs cope with the degeneracy of the genetic code in two manners: having more than one tRNA (with a specific anti-codon) for a particular amino acid; and 'wobble' base-pairing, i.e. permitting non-standard base-pairing at the 3rd anti-codon position. Lineage: Eukaryota; Metazoa; Chordata; Actinopteri; Perciformes; Percidae. The record is from Rfam by way of RNAcentral.